CCUACGGGAGGCAGCAGUGGGGAAUAUUGGACAAUGGGGGGAACCCUGAUCCAGCCAUGCCGCGUGUGUGAAGAAGGCCCUCGGGUUGUAAAGCACUUUCAGUGAGGAAGAACGCCUGGUGGUUAAUACCCAUCAGGAAAGACAUCACUCACAGAAGAAGCACCGGCUAACUCCGUGCCAGCAGCCGCGGUAAUACGGAGGGUGCGAGCGUUAAUCGGAAUUACUGGGCGUAAAGCGCGCGUAGGUGGCUUGAUAAGCCGGUUGUGAAAGCCCCGGGCUCAACCUGGGAACGGCAUCCGGAACUGUCAAGCUAGAGUGCAGGAGAGGAAGGUAGAAUUCACGGUGUAGCGGUGAAAUGCGUAGAGAUCGGGAGGAAUACCAGUGGCGAAGGCGGCCUUCUGGACUGACACUGACACUGAGGUGCGAAAGCGUGGGUAGCAAACAGGAUUAGAUACCCUGGUAGUC
Molecule: ribosomal RNA, 465 nt
Filed under: Vreelandella stevensii
Lineage: Bacteria; Pseudomonadati; Pseudomonadota; Gammaproteobacteria; Oceanospirillales; Halomonadaceae
Description: partial 16S ribosomal RNA
Rfam family: Bacterial small subunit ribosomal RNA
Source: RNAcentral